GACGAACGCUGGCGGCGUGCUUAACACAUGCAAGUCGAACGGAAAGGCCCUGCUUUUGUGGGGUGCUCGAGUGGCGAACGGGUGAGUAACACGUGAGUAACCUGCCCUUGACUUUGGGAUAACUUCAGGAAACUGGGGCUAAUACCGGAUAGGAGCUCCUGCUGCAUGGUGGGGGUUGGAAAGUUUCGGCGGUUGGGGAUGGACUCGCGGCUUAUCAGCUUGUUGGUGGGGUAGUGGCUUACCAAGGCUUUGACGGGUAGCCGGCCUGGGAGGUUGACCGGCCACAUUGGGACUGAGAUACGGCCCAGACUCCUACGGGACGCAGCAGUGGGGAAUAUUGCACAAUGGGCGGAAGCCUGAUGCAGCAACGCCGCGUGCGGGAUGACGGCCUUCGGGUUGUAAACCGCUUUCGCCUGUGACGAAGCGUGAGUGACGGUAAUGGGUAAAGAAGCACCGGCUAACUACGUG
This 468-nucleotide ribosomal RNA is filed under the name uncultured bacterium. Its description in RNAcentral is "partial 16S ribosomal RNA". It matches the Rfam family "Bacterial small subunit ribosomal RNA", at positions 28 to 507 of the family's 1533-position model. The record is from RNAcentral.